Non-coding RNA from Pelodiscus sinensis (Chinese soft-shelled turtle), 886 nucleotides. The record is from RefSeq and is a predicted model, not a curated record. Lineage: Eukaryota; Metazoa; Chordata; Testudines; Trionychidae.
GAGGGGUGGAGAAACUGAAAGAGACUGAAAACAGAGUAGGGACUUAAUAAAAAGAAAUGUAAAUGUUACCAAUAUUUUUCUAAGGGGCUACAAAGAAAACCUAAUUAGCAUAACUCUCUAGGCACUAGAUGUUUUCUGUAAUUUAAAACACUAUUAGUCAAGUACCUUGAAUGGAAGAAAUACAUGCAGACUCUCAGUUAAUGUUGUGAAGAAUUCAUCAUAAGGUCUUCCAUUCACCUUCUGAUCUCUGCUGUCCUGGUCAGAAAUCCCUAUCAUUUGACAGAAGUUUGGUGGUUGAAUAAAAAGAAUUCGUCGUCUCAGCUUUUCACAUUGGCAACAUUCUUUUGCAACUGUCCAUGAAGUUCCAUUAACCAUCCACCACUGCAAAAUGCUAUUUAGUAGCCAGUGCCAUCAUGUGCAAUGGGGCAAAUCAUACACCUAUUGACCAAUGCUACACAUUUGUUUAUGUUGUCUCUCUGGUUCGACAAGUCUGUACCAAUGGCACCUGUUAAAGCUGCUUCAACUAAGCUGUUCUGCAUUUGUCUGGCUGGAUUUGGACUUCCUGGAUCUCUGACUGAAUACAAAGUGAUUAGAAAAAUCAGUGUUUGGCAACAAGCACAGUGGGGAGUACACUGUGUAUUGGUAUACAAGAGCACAAUGUGUUCUUCAUAACAUCACUGAGGGAGCAUGCUGCUAGAAUCUCUGUGCUGUUGAGAUCAAAAUGGUCUCCUUUGUUGUCAGCUGUUUAUUAGCAGCUGUUUAAUGUAAUUCCAAAUGAUCUGCUUGAAUGAAGUUGCCAUUCUUACAGUUCACUUUAAUGUAGUAAAAAACCCAGAUUGGUCAUAUUAUUUUUCUAUUGUUCUUCUGAAAAGUUACAAUUCUUAUG